RNAcentral lists this long non-coding RNA (3595 nucleotides) under Solanum tuberosum (potato). Its description in RNAcentral is "long non-coding RNA (STUB_LNC002056)". Lineage: Eukaryota; Viridiplantae; Streptophyta; Magnoliopsida; Solanales; Solanaceae. The record is from RNAcentral.
GCUCCACUUCACACGCACCCUCGAGCUACUGAGCUGAUAACUAUCCUGGAGGGUACUGUCUAUGCAGGAUUUCUUGUCCCCAAUCCUGCAAACUUCUUUAAGAGUCGUCUCUUCUCCAAAGUCUUGAAUCCUGGUGAUGUGUUUGUAAUCCCAAAAGGUCUUAUUCACUUCCAGUAUAAUGUGGGAAACAAAAAAGCUACUUAUUUCGCUAUUUUCAACAGUCAAAAUCCUGGAUUUGUCAUUAUUCCUAAUUCAAUCUUUGCUUCAAAUCCACCUAUUUCGGACGACGUUCUUGCCAAAGGCUUCAUGCUUAAUAAGACAGAGAUUGCAGUACUUCGAAAGAAAUUCUCUUAGGCUAUACUAUAUGUUAUUAAAAAUAUGAUUCUGUGUUUUCUGAAAGUUGGUUGCAGCACAUAAGCUGCUCACCAGCGUCUUAUGAGUUGGAACAAUACUUGACCCCUAAUAAAUAAAGUGGCAGUGUAUGUAAGUAUAAUCUUUCUUUGCAAUAUAUACUAAUGAAUAAGCACUAUGUUGGUCAUGCACCUGGUGUGAUGAGAGUGAAAUUGACAUGCUUAAUGGCUAUCAAGUGUAAAGUUGAAAUGAUUUUCCUGGAAAGGACAUAUAUCUUAUUAGUCGAUUAAGAUGCUUUCCUGGAGUUUCAAUUAUAUAAGUUCGAGCUCUAGGACCAAUUCUUGAGUUUCCCUAGUAAAAGUUGAAAAACUUUUAUAUACUUAUACUAUUAUUUUAGAUUAGUAUUAGUUAGUGAUCCAAACUUAGUGAUGAACUGUUGACACUGGUCCUACAUUUUUUCAACUAUACAACAUGAAAUCUAGCAAUGUAGUUGGACUCUAAUGUCGAUGCGUAUGAAUCAUUUCCUGUAGAAUAUUUUCAAUCCAAGUUGAAAUAGGAAAAGUCACAAGCACCACUAGACUCGAUCACCGGUUGAACGUUAGUAGGAUCUGAUAUUCAUUACUUACUCAGAUAGGAAGUUGACAGUCUCAAUCUAGUGGUGUGGUCCACAACGACUUUGUUGAUCCAAGGGGUUUUUUGUUUUUAUUGCAAUAAGUGUUCCUUUUUUUUCUUUUAACUUGCAACACUUGCUACUUUGAAGUUGAAAACUAGAUUUUAUGCAAAUUGCACGCUAAGUCUUUGGUAUGGGUGUCCCGGUCUAAUAAUCUACAAAGAAAGGAGAGGGAAUGACAUAUCAAUCUAAGAUCCUUCUCCUCUUAGAAAGAGGAGAAAAUAUCCAAAAUUGUCCUUGUGGUUUGCAAAAAAGGUCUGAUUCUGUCCUCUGUUAAAGCUUAGGUCCCAUCGUGCCCCCGCUAUUAUCACACGGGCACACAUUUGCCCUAAUUAUCCAACUUAGCUAACAAAAUUAUUAAAAUGGAUUUCAAAACUUUUAAAAUGAUAAAAAAAAAAAAGUUCUAGAAUUCUCCGGGUGAUUGUGGCUUUUGAGUGGAAGUGGAAGCCAUUGAAGAUCUAGGAAUGUUUGGGUGGCCAUUUCUGAUAGAAGUUUUUUUCUAGAGAUCAGUGGUUUCAGGUUUCGCAAUGCUUGUAGAUGAUACCGUGCCUUACAAUGAGAUGAUAUAUAACUAAAAGGUAAAAAUGCUAAGAUAGUGCCGAGUACUGAACUUUGACCCUCCAAUUUUGGGUGUGCACAAGUAGAUACUUAAAUUUGUAUAAAAUUGAACAAUUAAACACAUGCAUAUACAUGACAUCCUAUAUGACAAUUCACAUCCUACAUAGCGUCCUAUGUGUAAUAUGCCACGUAAAAUGUGUGUGUCUACUUAUUCAAUUUUAUACAAGUUUAAGUACCUACUUGUGCACACUCAAAGUUGGAGGGGAUGUCAACUGAAGCGGCUAAGUUAAAUGGAACAUUUAUGUAUUAUGCUCAUUUUUCAGAGAAUGGUCAAAAUUGUACCUAACCAAUUCAGUAUGUUUUACUUUUACAUUUCGUCUAUCUAUUGGUCCUCAAAGCCUAACCUAUUGUUUUCUAGCCAAAAUUUACCCCUCUUCUAAACGAAAAAUUACAUAAUUUCGCGACACCAUAUAAUUGGCAUAAGCCAUACAUAAAUGUGCUCCUUAACUUAACUUCAACAAGCAUCUAUGCUCUUCAACUUUGGGGUGUGCACAUGUAAACACUUAAACUUCCAAUAGUUGAACAAGUAGACACACACAUCUUAUAUGGCGUCUUAUGUGGUAGUUUUGUGUCCUACAUGGCAUCCUACAUGUAUUAUGCCACAUAGGACGCAUGUGUAUGUCUACUUGUUUAACUUUUGGAUAGUUUAAGUGUCUACUUGUGAAUACCUAAAGUUGGAGGGCGUAACGCCAGUUGAGACCAAGUUAAAGGACACAUUUAUAUAAUACGCCCCACAUAAUUGGUUCAUGUGGAACUUUAACUCUAAUAGUAGCAGUACCAAGUAGUGUGGAUUCAAGCUUUUCAAUAUGUUAGAGUGAGUUAGAAUCCCACAUUGAUUGUGGAAAGGACCAAUGGGUUUAUGCAAUGCUUUCCUCGUGAGCUAGCUUUUAGGGUUGAGUUAGGCCUAAGUGUCAUAUUUUUACAUAAUACAUAUUAUUUUUCUCGGAUAUUUUGAACUAGAUGAGAGUAUAAGUAGUCAAACCUUUCUUCCUGGCUGUUUGGAAAAAAGCCCAUCACAAAUCCAAAGCAUAAUAAUGAGUAUGUGGUGGUUCAUAACAACAUUAGCCAUUACUGCUUUCAUUUCUUAUUCCCCUGCUUAUGCUUAUGAUAACAACCCUCUACAGGACAUAUGUGUUGCUGUUAACGACUCUCAGGCUGCAGGUAAAUCAUCCUUCAAUAUUUUGUUUGGGAAUGAGGCGUAGUUUUUGGAUAUACGUUGUAUAAUUUAUGUCUGCUCUUAUUAUCUGAAUAAUAUGCUCAGUUUCAUUUUAUUUCACCUGUGCAGUUUUCGUGAAUGGAAAGAUUUGCAAAGACCCAAAGCUUGCAACAGCGAAUGAUUUCUAUUUUUCAGGCCUUAAUGUUAGUGGAAAUGUAGUGCCUGGGCUUGGUUUUGCUUCAACUCGUGUGGCUGUAAACAACAUGCCUGGACUUAACACUCUUGGUAUGUUUCUUGGUCGUACUGACUUGGAACCUCAACGUCUUGCUCAAUUUCACACGCACCCUCGAGCUACUGAGUUGAUAACUAUCCUGGAGGGUACUCUCUAUACAGGAUUUCUUGUCCCUGAUGCUGCAAACUUCUUUAAGAGUCGUCUCUUCUCCAAAAUCAUUAAUCCUGGUGAUGUGUUUGUGUUCCCAAAAGGUCUUAUUCACUUCCAGUAUAAUAUGGGAAACAAAAAAGCUACUUAUCUCUCCUUUUUCAACAGUCAAAAUCCUGGAUUUGUCAUUAUUCCUAACUCAAUCUUUGCUUCAAAUCCACCUAUUUCGGACAACAUUCUUGCCAAAGGCUUCCAGCUUAAUAAGACAGAUAUUGCACUACUUCGAAAGAAAUUCUCUUAGGCUAUAUUAUAUGUCAUAAAAAAUGUCACUCUGUGUUUUCUGAAUGAUUUUUGGAAGCUUUAUAUGAAAGCCUUGGAAUAAAACUCUUCUAAUAAAUGUUGUUCUUUGUAUUUUUCCGUA